Pseudopipra pipra is the source of this 259-nucleotide long non-coding RNA. RefSeq lists it as uncharacterized. The transcript is spliced from 2 exons. Lineage: Eukaryota; Metazoa; Chordata; Aves; Passeriformes; Pipridae. The record is from RefSeq and is a predicted model, not a curated record.
UAUGUGAAACUUUUCUCAUCCUUUUAGCAGAUUUGUGGGCGUUUGAAAAAUUGGGCGUGGGUCAAACCACGACAGUCCCUUGCAUACAGGUGCUACAAGAAAGUUGCAUGUGACUUCUAAAGGAUAAAGCCUCUGUCCUGCCAACGGUCUUCAAAAGCUACUCCAGAAGCAGAAAAAAAGUGCAAGGAAAUCAGUGAAAAGGAUGAGGACAGUAUAGAAGCAGAGGAAAGAAGAGGAAAUGAGAACAAAGGGGCUUCAA